Mauremys mutica (yellowpond turtle) is the source of this 279-nucleotide long non-coding RNA. RefSeq lists it as uncharacterized. The record is from RefSeq and is a predicted model, not a curated record. The transcript has 3 exons. NCBI's taxonomy places the organism in Eukaryota, Metazoa, Chordata, Testudines, Geoemydidae.
GGGAGAGGAAGUGUGGCUGAAGGGCUGGUUAAUGAAGACACCCUGAAACUAUCGGGAUUGACAGUCUGACAGAAUAAGCACAUCUAAAAGCUGGCAUCACAUAUAUGUGGAGGACAGAUGGGCAAGUUUUAAACAGCCAACUGAAUUUGAGAUAUCUGCUCUUCGCUUCAGCAGCAGCACCAUCAGCAAAAGCUCUCAGUACCUCUUUCUACUAUAUAACCUGAGCCAGCUUAGUUUCCCACCACCCAGAUUCAUCACAUCUCCUGGGAAGCCAGUCAC